CCCAUAGUCUAGCCCGGUCAAGGACGCUGCCCUUUCAAGGCGGUAACACGGGUUCAAAUCCCGUUGGGA
Molecule: transfer RNA, 69 nt
Filed under: Candidatus Micrarchaeota archaeon CG10_big_fil_rev_8_21_14_0_10_45_29
Lineage: Archaea; Nanobdellati; Microcaldota
Description: tRNA-Glu
Rfam family: tRNA
About the family: Transfer RNA (tRNA) molecules are approximately 80 nucleotides in length. Their secondary structure includes four short double-helical elements and three loops (D, anti-codon, and T loops).
Source: RNAcentral